Long non-coding RNA from Sander lucioperca (pikeperch), 135 nucleotides. RefSeq lists it as uncharacterized. The transcript is spliced from 3 exons. Lineage: Eukaryota; Metazoa; Chordata; Actinopteri; Perciformes; Percidae. The record is from RefSeq and is a predicted model, not a curated record.
UAUUUUAGCUAUGAGGCGGAUAUUUGUUACCUGUGGACAGAGCCCGGCUAGCUGUUUCCCCUUGUUUCCAGUCUUUAUGCUAAGCUAAGCUAACCCACUUCUGGCAGUUGCUUCAUAUUUAGCAUACAGACAUGA